UACGGAGGGGGUUAGCGUUGUUCGGAAUUACUGGGCGUAAAGCGCGCGUAGGCGGACUAUUAAGUCGAGGGUGAAAUCCCGGGGCUCAACCCCGGAACUGCCUUGAUACUGGUAGUCUUGAGUUCGAGAGAGGUAGAGUGAAUUCCGAGUGUAGAGGUGAAAUUCGUAGAUAUUCGGAGGAACACCAGUGGCGAAGGCGGCUACUGGCUCGAUACUGACGCUGAGGUGCGAAAAGCGGUGGGAAACAGGAUUAGAUACCC
This 260-nucleotide ribosomal RNA is filed under the name uncultured bacterium. RNAcentral describes it as "partial 16S ribosomal RNA". It matches the Rfam family "Bacterial small subunit ribosomal RNA", at positions 524 to 787 of the family's 1533-position model. The record is from RNAcentral.